CCUACGGGCGGCAGCAGUGGGGAAUUUUGCGCAAUGCUCGUAAGAGUGACGCAGCGACGCCGCGUGAAUGACGAAGGCCUUCGGGUCGUAAAGUUCUUUCGACAGGGAAGAAAAUGCCUAUAAGUAACUGUGUAUGUAUUGACGGUACCUGUAUAAGCAGCACCGGCUAACUCCGUGCCAGCAGCCGCGGUAAUACGGAGGGGGCGAGCGUGGGUCGGAUGGACUGGGCGUAAAGAGCACGUAGGCGGUGUUGUAAGUCAUUAGUCAAAGACUAGAGCUCAACUUUAGUAAGGCUAGUGAGACGAUAAUACUAGAGUAUCAGAGAGGAUUGCAGAAUUCCUGGUGUAGCGGUGAAAUGCGUAGAGAUCAGGAGGAAUACCGUUAGCGAAGGCGGCAAUCUGGCUGGAAACUGACGCUGAGGUGCGAAAGCGUGGGUAGCAAACAGGAUUAGAUACCCGAGUAGUC
RNAcentral lists this ribosomal RNA (465 nucleotides) under uncultured bacterium. RNAcentral's name for it is "partial 16S ribosomal RNA". It matches the Rfam family "Bacterial small subunit ribosomal RNA", at positions 338 to 795 of the family's 1533-position model. The record is from RNAcentral.